AAUGAACGUUGGCGGCGUGGAUUAGGCAUGCAAGUCGAGCGAGAAGCCCCUUUCGGGGGGUGGACAGCGGCGUAAGGGAGAGUAACGCGUGGAUACUUGCCCCCAGGUCCGGGAUAGCUGCGGGAAACUGCAGGUAAUACCGGAUAACAUCUCCGGAUCAAAGGUGUGAUUCCGCCUGGGGAUGGGUCCGCGUCCUAUUAGCUUGUUGGUGGGGUAAUGGCCUACCAAGGCGAUGAUGGGUACCGGGUGUGAGAGCAUGGCCCGGCUCACUGGGACUGAGACACUGCCCAGACACCUACGGGUGGCUGCAGUCGAGAAUCUUCGGCAAUGGACGAAAGUCUGACCGAGCGACGCCGCGUGCGGGAUGAAGGCCUUCGGGUUGUAAACCGCUGUCAGAGGGGAGGAAAUCCUAGGGGGCAAUCCUCCUAGGUUGACCUAUCCUCAGAGGAAGUACGGGCUAAGUUCGUG
Molecule: ribosomal RNA, 468 nt
Filed under: uncultured bacterium
Lineage: Bacteria
Description: bacterial SSU rRNA
Rfam family: Bacterial small subunit ribosomal RNA
Source: RNAcentral